This 290-nucleotide ribosomal RNA is filed under the name uncultured Alphaproteobacteria bacterium. Its description in RNAcentral is "partial 16S ribosomal RNA". It matches the Rfam family "Bacterial small subunit ribosomal RNA", at positions 442 to 749 of the family's 1533-position model. Lineage: Bacteria; Pseudomonadati; Pseudomonadota; Alphaproteobacteria. The record is from RNAcentral.
GGGAUGAUAAUGACAGUACCGGGAGAAUAAGCCCCGGCUAACUCCGUGCCAGCAGCCGCGGUAAUACGGAGGGGGCUAGCGUUGUUCGGAAUUACUGGGCGUAAAGCGCACGUAGGCGGUUACUCAAGUCAGAGGUGAAAGCCCGGGGCUCAACCCCGGAACUGCCUUUGAAACUAGGCAACUGGAAUCUUGGAGAGGCGAGUGGAAUUCCGAGUGUAGAGGUGAAAUUCGUAGAUAUUCGGAAGAACACCAGUGGCGAAGGCGACUCGCUGGACAAGUAUUGACGCUGA